GGGACACGUGGUAUCCUGUCUGAAUAUGGGGGGACCAUCCUCCAAGGCUAAAUACUCCUGACUGACCGAUAGUGAACCAGUACCGUGAGGGAAAGGCGAAAAGAACCCCGGCGAGGGGAGUGAAAAAGAACCUGAAACCGUGUACGUACAAGCAGUGGGAGCACGCUUAGGCGUGUGACUGCGUACCUUUUGUAUAAUGGGUCAGCGACUUAUAUUCUGUAGCAAGGUUAACCGAAUAGGGGAGCCGAAGGGAAACCGAGUCUUAACUGGGCGUUAAGUUGCAGGGUAUAGACCCGAAACCCGGUGAUCUAGCCAUGGGCAGGUUGAAGGUUGGGUAACACUAACUGGAGGACCGAACCGACUAAUGUUGAAAAAUUAGCGGAUGACUUGUGGCUGGGGGUGAAAGGCCAAUCAAACCGGGAGAUAGCUGGUUCUCCCCGAAAGCUAUUUAGGUAGCGCCUCGUGAAUUCAUCUCCGGGGGUAGAGCACUGUUUCGGCAAGGGGGUCAUCCCGACUUACCAACCCGAUGCAAACUGCGAAUACCGGAGAAUGUUAUCACGGGAGACACACGGCGGGUGCUAACGUCCGUCGUGAAGAGGGAAACAACCCAGACCGCCAGCUAAGGUCCCAAAGUCAUGGUUAAGUGGGAAACGAUGUGGGAAGGCCCAGACAGCCAGGAUGUUGGCUUAGAAGCAGCCAUCAUUUAAAGAAAGCGUAAUAGCUCACUGGUCGAGUCGGCCUGCGCGGAAGAUGUAACGGGGCUAAACCAUGCACCGAAGCUGCGGCAGCGACGCUUAUGCGUUGUUGGGUAGGGGAGCGUUCUGUAAGCCUGUGAAGGUGUGCUGUGAGGCAUGCUGGAGGUAUCAGAAGUGCGAAUGCUGACAUAAGUAACGAUAAAGCGGGUGAAAAGCCCGCUCGCCGGAAGACCAAGGGUUCCUGUCCAACGUUAAUCGGGGCAGGGUGAGUCGACCCCUAAGGCGAGGCCGAAAGGCGUAGUCGAUGGGAAACAGGUUAAUAUUCCUGUACUUGGUGUUACUGCGAAGGGGGGACGGAGAAGGCUAUGUUGGCCGGGCGACGGUUGUCCCGGUUUAAGCGUGUAGGCUGGUUUUCCAGGCAAAUCCGGAAAAUCAAGGCUGAGGCGUGAUGACGAGGCACUACGGUGCUGAAGCAACAAAUGCCCUGCUUCCAGGAAAAGCCUCUAAGCAUCAGGUAACAUCAAAUCGUACCCCAAACCGACACAGGUGGUCAGGUAGAGAAUACCAAGGCGCUUGAGAGAACUCGGGUGAAGGAACUAGGCAAAAUGGUGCCGUAACUUCGGGAGAAGGCACGCUGAUAUGUAGGUGAAGUCCCUUGCGGAUGGAGCUGAAAUCAGUCGAAGAUACCAGCUGGCUGCAACUGUUUAUUAAAAACACAGCACUGUGCAAACACGAAAGUGGACGUAUACGGUGUGACGCCUGCCCGGUGCCGGAAGGUUAAUUGAUGGGGUCAGCGCAAGCGAAGCUCUUGAUCGAA
RNAcentral lists this ribosomal RNA (1512 nucleotides) under Escherichia coli. RNAcentral's name for it is "partial 23S ribosomal RNA". It matches the Rfam family "Bacterial large subunit ribosomal RNA", at positions 419 to 1916 of the family's 2925-position model. The record is from RNAcentral. Lineage: Bacteria; Pseudomonadati; Pseudomonadota; Gammaproteobacteria; Enterobacterales; Enterobacteriaceae.